This 238-nucleotide ribosomal RNA is filed under the name uncultured bacterium. RNAcentral's name for it is "partial 16S ribosomal RNA". It matches the Rfam family "Bacterial small subunit ribosomal RNA", at positions 100 to 334 of the family's 1533-position model. The record is from RNAcentral.
CCGGCACGGGUGAGUAACGCGUAUGCAACUUGCCUAUCAGAGGGGACGAACCCGGCGAAAGUCGGACUAAUACCGCAUGAAGCAGGGGCCCCGCAUGGGGAUAUUUGCUAAAGAUUCAUCGCUGAUAGAUAGGCAUGCGUUCCAUUAGGCAGUUGGCGGGGUAACGGCCCACCAAACCGACGAUGGAUAGGGGUUCUGAGAGGAAGGUCCCCCACAUUGGUACUGAGACACGGACCAA